GCAGGAUAGUGUUCAGUCCUAAUCACUGGAACCUGUGUAGACGUAACAAAGGGGAAUUUAGGCUGCAAAUCAACUGACCUUCAAAUAGAUUCACCUGGAUUAUCCAGGUGAGCCUGUUGUAAUCACAAGGUUGCUUAAAAGAGCCCCGGCCAGGACCGGUGGCUUACGCCUGUAAUCCCGGCACUUUGGGAGGCCGAGGCGGGCAGAUCUCCUGAGGUCAGGAGUUCAAGACCAGCCUGCCCAACACGGCGAAGUCCCGUCUCUACUGAAAAUACGAAAAAUUAGCCAGGAGUGAUGACGGGUGCCUGUAAUCCCAGCUACUCAGGAGGCUGAGGCAGGACAAUCACUUGAACCCGGGAGGCGGAGGUUGCAGUGAGCCAAGAUCACGCCACUGCACUCCAGCCUGCGCGACAGAGUGAAACUCUAUCUCAAAAAAAAAAAAAAAAAGCCCCAGGAGGAGGCGAGGAGAGAAGGAAGGCACCAGGUGCAAGUUGCUGACACCGAAGCUGGAGGAAGAAGCUCAGAGACAAGCGAAGUGGGGCACCUGUAGCCCAGGGAGUGGGCAAAGAAAUGGAUUCUCCCCCAGAGCCUCCACAAGGAGUGCAACCUUCCUCGAACUGAGCCUAGAAAUAUUUGGUGGUGGCAGGACAAAGAAGACAGAAGGUGGAGCUUGGCUUGUGAGGGCCGCAGGGCACGAGACCUGAGAGCAGAAAAUUGAUAAGCCAGCCAGCAAUCUAGGACACAAACCACAAAAUCAGAUUACCUUCUUGGGGACUUGAACUGGACACUUGGGGAUCAUGAACCAGUUGAAUCAAAAGCAGAAGGUGAUCUCAAUUAGCCACAAUUCUUCAAAUACAACUAUAUGCUGAAGAUUAUCCAUUUUAAAUCUCCAAGCCCUCUGCUGAAGUCCAGACUCACAUAUCCACACAGACUUGACUUCUCUACCUGGAUUUCUGUGAGGCAUUUCAAAUUCAACUUCAAAUUCUUGAUUUAUAUCUCCAAGUGUUAGGUCUUUUCCAUCUCAUAAUAUGACAACUCUAUUAUUUUAGUCAUUCAGGCUGAAAGUCUUGAAAUCAUCUUUGACUUCUGUCUUUCUCUUUCAAACCGCAUGUCAGCAAAUUCCAUUGUCUCAUUUUAAAAUAUACACAGCAUCUGACUGCUUUCCAUCUCAACCUAGUGUUUUGUUGCUAGCAAAUCCCAUCACCUCCACCUGAACACAGGCAGCAGCCACCUCGCCGCCUAUCCUCCUUUCGCAGAUGCUCCCUCAUGUCCGUGCACGGAGCCAGAGCAGCUCCUUUCUUUCUUUUUUUCUCUUUUUUUUUUGAGACGGAGUCUCGCUUUGUCGCCCAGGCUGGAGUGCAGUGGUGCGAUCUUGGCUCACUGCAAGCUCCGCCUCCCGGGUUCGCG
Molecule: long non-coding RNA, 1407 nt
Filed under: Homo sapiens (human)
Lineage: Eukaryota; Metazoa; Chordata; Mammalia; Primates; Hominidae
Description: HSALNT0115402
Source: RNAcentral